This 468-nucleotide ribosomal RNA is filed under the name uncultured bacterium. Its description in RNAcentral is "partial 16S ribosomal RNA". It matches the Rfam family "Bacterial small subunit ribosomal RNA", at positions 28 to 507 of the family's 1533-position model. The record is from RNAcentral.
GACGAACGCUGGCGGCGUGCUUAACACAUGCAAGUCGAACGGAAAGGCCCUGCUUUUGUGGAGUGCUCGAGUGGCGAACGGGUGAGUAACACGUGAGUAACCUGCCCUUGACUUUGGGAUAACUUCAGGAAACUGGGGCUAAUACCGGAUAGGAGCUCCUGCUGCAUGGUGGGGGUUGGAAAGUUUCGGCGGUUGGGGAUGGACUCGCGGCUUAUCAGCUUGUUGGUGGGGUAGUGGCUUACCAAGGCUUUGACGGGUAGCCGGCCUGAGGGGGUGACCGGCCACAUUGGGACUGAGAUACGGCCCAGACUCCUACGGGAGGCAGCAGUGGGGAAUAUUGCACAAUGGGCGGAAGCCUGAUGCAGCAACGCCGCGUGCGGGAUGACGGCCUUCGGGUUGUAAACCGCUUUCGCCUGUGACGAAGCGUGAGUGACGGUAAUGGGUAAAGAAGCACCGGCUAACUACGUG